This 252-nucleotide ribosomal RNA is filed under the name Muribaculum intestinale. RNAcentral's name for it is "partial 16S ribosomal RNA". It matches the Rfam family "Bacterial small subunit ribosomal RNA", at positions 524 to 776 of the family's 1533-position model. The record is from RNAcentral. Lineage: Bacteria; Pseudomonadati; Bacteroidota; Bacteroidia; Bacteroidales; Muribaculaceae.
UACGGAGGAUGCGAGCGUUAUCCGGAUUUAUUGGGUUUAAAGGGAGCGCAGGCUGCGGGGCAAGUCAGCGGUCAAAUGUCGGGGCUCAACCCCGGCCUGCCGUUGAAACUGUCUUGCUAGAGUUCGAGUGAGGUAUGCGGAAUGCGUUGUGUAGCGGUGAAAUGCAUAGAUAUGACGCAGAACUCCGAUUGCGAAGGCAGCAUACCAACUCGCGACUGACGCUGAGGCUCGAAAGCGUGGGUAUCGAACAGG